This 4108-nucleotide long non-coding RNA is filed under the name Salmo salar (Atlantic salmon). RNAcentral's name for it is "lncRNA (ENSSSAG00000107885.1)". Lineage: Eukaryota; Metazoa; Chordata; Actinopteri; Salmoniformes; Salmonidae. The record is from RNAcentral.
GGGGAACUGAGGUCAGGACAUAUUGGACCUGGGAAGGGGAGAGGGGAACUGAGGUCAGGACAUAUUGGACCUGGGAAGGGGAGAGGGGAACUGAGGUCAGGACAUAUUGGACCUGGGAAGGGGAGAGUGGGGGAGCUGAGUUUUCCCUCCAUCUUGCUGCUGCUUCACUGGAUGUAAAGGGAGAGACACGCCUGCCUGUCGGUCUGAGAGAACAGACUUUACCGCCCAGAGUAGGAAUGCUGACUGACAGACAUUAUGAUUUGUGGUCCAGGUGUACAUGACCGUGUUGUGUUGGGGUUGAGUAGCGGUUUAGUUGUGUGGACAUUUGUCCCGUAUAGCCCUGAUGCUGCUCCACUCAUGAAAUCAGAAUUACUCACAGAAUCAGUUAUGGCUGGAAUUCAAUCUGAUCGCGGGUUAUAGGCACUGCAGCUCUGAAAUGUAAUGUUCUCAUUCGCGGAGAUCCCUUUCAUGAUAAACGCUGCAUAUGUCUGCUCAAUCGGAAGUUGCCUUUAAAAAACCUCAAUGCCUAUAACCCACAAUACGAUAGAAUUCAGCCUUAGUCUGUGUCAGACCAGGAGGAAGUUUGCCCAUACAGAUACAUACAUACAGAUACAUACAGACAGAUACAUACAUACAGAUACAUACAGACAGAUACAUAUAUACAGAUACAUACAUACAGAUACAUACAUACAGAUACAUACAGACAGAUACAUAUAUACAGAUACAUAUAUACAGAUACAUACAUACAGAUACAUAUAUACAGAUAGAUACAUACAGACAGAUAGAUAUAUACAGAUACAUACAUACAGAUAGAUACAUACAGAUAGAUACAUACAUACAGAUACAUAUAUACAGAUACAUACAGACAGAUACAUAUAUACAGAUACAUACAUACAGAUACAUACAUACAGAUACAUACAUACAGAUACAUAUAUACAGAUACAUACAUACAGAUACAUACAUACAGAUACAUACAGACAGAUACAUACAUACAGAUACAUACAUACAGAUACAUAUAUACAGAUACAUAUAUACAGAUACAUACAGACAGAUACAUAUAUACAGAUACAUACAUACAGACAGAUACAUACAGACAGAUACAUAUAUACAGAUACAUACAUACAGAUACAUGUAUACAGAUAGAUACAUACAGACAGAUAGAUAUAUACAGAUACAUACAUACAGAUAGAUACAUACAGAUAGAUACAUACAGAUAGAUACAUACAUACAGAUACAUAUAUACAGAUACAUACAGACAGAUACAUACAUACAGAUACAUACAUACAGAUACAUACAUACAGAUAGAUACAUACAGAUACAUAUAUACAGAUAGAUACAUAUAUACAGAUACAUACAUACAGAUACAUACAUACAGAUAGAUACAUACAGAUACAUACAUACAGAUACAUACAUACAGACAGAUACAUACAUACAGAUACAUAUAUACAGAUACAUACAGACAGAUACAUAUAUACAGAUACAUACAUACAGAUACAUACAUACAGAUACAUACAGACAGAUACAUAUAUACAGAUAGAUACAUAUAUACAGAUACAUACAUACAGAUACAUAUAUACAGAUAGAUACAUACAGACAGAUACAUAUAUACAGAUACAUACAUACAGAUACAUACAUACAGAUACAUACAUACAGAUAGAUACAUACAGACACAUACAUACAUACAGAUAGAUACAUACAGAUACAUAUAUACAGAUACAUACAUACAGAUAGAUACAUACAGAUAGAUACAUACAGACAGAUACAUACAGACAGAUACAUACAGUACAUACAGAUACAUACAGACAGAUACAUACAGUACAUACAGAUACAUACAGACAGAUACAUACAGACAGAUGCGUACAUACAGACAGAUAGAGUACAUACAGAUACAUAAAGACAGAUACAUACAGACAGAUACAGUACAUACAGAUGCAUACAUACAGAUACAUACAGACAGAUACAUACAUACAGAUACAUACUUACAGAUACAUACAGUACAUACAGAUACAUAGAUACAUACAGUACAUACAGAUACAUACAGACAGAUACAUACAGUACAUACAGAUGUAUACAUUCAGAUGUUUACAGACAGAUACAUACAGACAGAUACAUACAUACAUAUACAUACUUACAGAUACAUACAGUACAUACAUAUACAUACAUACAGACAGAUACAUACAAUACAUACAGACAGAUACAGUACAUACAGACACAUACAUACAGAUACAUAAAGACAGAUACAUACAGACAGAUACAGUACAUACAGAUGCAUACAUACAGAUACAUACAGACAGAUACAUACAGUACAUACAGAUACAUACAGACAGAUACAUACAGACAGAUACAUACAGACAGGUACAUACAGAUACAUACAGACAGAUACAUACAGUACAUACAGAUACAUACAGACAGAUGCAUACAUACAGAUACAUACAGACAGAUACAGUACAUACAGACGCAUACAUACAGAUACAUAAAGACAGAUACAUACAGACAGAUACAGUACAUACAGAUGUAUACAUACAGAUACAUACAGACAGAUACAUACAUACAGAUACAUACUUACAGAUACAUACAGUACAUACAGACAGAUACAUACAGACAGAUACAUACAGUACAUACAGAUGUAUACAUACAGAUGUUUACAGACAGAUACAUAGAGACAGAUACAGUACAUACAGACGCAUACGUAAAGAUAGAUACAUACAUACAGAUACAUACAGACAGAUACAUACAGACAGACAGAUACAGUACAUACAGAUACAUACAGACAGAUACAUACAGACAGGGCUGGGUGGAGCAGGGAUGCUAUGCAAGAUGACUUAAGCGCACACACCACAUACCACACCACAUACCACACCACACGCCACAUACCACGCCACAUACCACACCACACACCACACCACAUAAAAUACCACACCACACCACACACCACACCACAUACCAGACCACAUACCACGCCACACCACACCACAUACCACACCACAUAAAAUACCACAUACCACACCACAUACAAUACCACACCACAUACCACAUACCAUACCACACCACAUACCACAUACCAUACCACACCACAUACCAUCACACCACAUACCACACCACAUACCACACACCAUACCACAUCACAUACCACACCACAUACCACGCCACACCACAUACCACAUACCACACCACAUAAAAUACCACAUACCACACCACAUACAAUACCACACCACAUACCACACCACAUACCACACCACAUACCACGCCACACCACAUACCACAUACCACACCACAUAAAAUACCACACCACAUACAAUACCACACCACAUACCACAUACCACACCACAUACCACACCACAUACAAUACCACACCACAUACCACAUACCACACCACAUACCACAUACCACACCACAUAACAUACCACAUAACAUACCACACCACACCACAUACCACAGCACAUACCACGCCACACCACACCACACACCACGUACCACACCACAUACCACGCCACACCACACCACAUAAAAUACCACAUACCACACCACAUACAAUACCACACCACAUACCACAUACCAUACCACACCAUACCACACCACAUACCACACCACAUACAAUACCACACCACAUACCACAUCACAUACCACAUCACAUACCACACCACAUACCACACCACACCACAUACCAUACCACACCACAUACCACACCACAUACCAUACCACACCAUACCACACUACAUACCACACCACACCACAUACCAUACCACACCACAUACCAUACCACACAACAUACCACACCACAUACCACAUACCAUACCACACCACAUACCACACCACAUACCACACCACACCACAUACCACACAAUAUACCACCGUCCCUACACCUUACCACAAACAACAAAGCAUACACACACACACAUCACUGUACCUACACAUUACCACACAACACACACACAAGCAUACACACACACACAUCACACCACACACACCGCACCAUAUGCCACACAGCGUACCAUACACUACACACAGUCUCCCCAGGUCACUGCCAGGGCACAGGGACUGACCUAUGUGUGGCUACCAUGUACAACCACCAUAAGCCAAAGCUUUCUAUAGUAACAUGCUAUUCAUU